GAGAGCGGCGCACGGGUGCGGAACACGUGUGCAACCUGCCUUUAUCUGGGGGAUAGCCUUUCGAAAGGAAGAUUAAUACCCCAUAAUAUAUUGAGUGGCAUCACUUAAUAUUGAAAACUCCGGUGGAUAGAGAUGGGCACGCGCAAGAUUAGAUAGUUGGUAGGGUAACGGCCUACCAAGUCAGUGAUCUUUAGGGGGCCUGAGAGGGUGAUCCCCCACACUGGUACUGAGACACGGACCAGACUCC
RNAcentral lists this ribosomal RNA (247 nucleotides) under uncultured Chryseobacterium sp. RNAcentral's name for it is "partial 16S ribosomal RNA". It matches the Rfam family "Bacterial small subunit ribosomal RNA", at positions 91 to 339 of the family's 1533-position model. Lineage: Bacteria; Pseudomonadati; Bacteroidota; Flavobacteriia; Flavobacteriales; Weeksellaceae. The record is from RNAcentral.